Molecule: long non-coding RNA, 4739 nt
Organism: Numida meleagris (helmeted guineafowl)
Lineage: Eukaryota; Metazoa; Chordata; Aves; Galliformes; Numididae
Exons: 3
Source: RefSeq, a predicted model, not a curated record
GGAAGAGAAACAUAACCGACUGUAUAAAUACUUGGGUGCCUCAUCUUUCACAGACAUCUGUGGAGUUAAGAUACAGUUACAGUUUCAAGACAGAAAGAUUCACAUUCUGUGGACAAACAGAACAAUACAAAAAGUUUUUUGCAGUCCUAUGUAUUAGAGAGUUGUCUAUUUCUAACAGUAACAUUUAUAACAAGAUACAGGUCCUUAUGCAAAGGUGUACCGUGCCAGCACAGGCGCUGUUUGUCACCGCUGCCUUUCUGGAACAGUAAUGCUGCUGAGUCCUCCAUUUCAGCCUUUGCCUAAACACAACUACUGUCAGGUAAUAAGAAGGAACAGAAAUCGGAAUAAGAUCAUUAUGAGAACUAUGGCAUGGUAAAACUAUGGUAACUUUUUUGUUUAAAAGUAAACAGUCAUGAACUAGAAGCGCUAGACUGUCUUACGAUUAUACCUUUCAUUCCUAUAUGUCAGUGGAACUUACACAGUAAUUAAAUAUUGCAACAUUUCAUGGACAAUUACUUCAGCUGAAGUACAGAAUAUGAGUUUUUUGGGGAGGUUAACCCUUCUACAGACAGUGACAAAAUCCCUGAUGAGAUGAGAAUCCUCCCACCUCUAUUAGCACCUUCUCCGUUACAUGCAGGGAGGAGGCUGUGAAUGCACACUGACAGCUUUUGAGUUUAUACAGAUUUUUUCCUCUAUUUCCUACAGCAUGUAUGAAGAAGAUAAAGUGCAUCAUAUAAUGCUAUAGAUAACUCAGUUUAUUUUUUCUUUUGGAGUUCCGAAUUCACACCAUGUUUGUGGUACCACUCCAUUUAAGACAUGUUUACAGACAGUCUGCCAGACUCUAAAAGAAUGGACUGGUUAUGCAGGGUCUGGUCAGGUUAUCCUGAAAGCACUGACCUUGGUCCAAAACAAACUUCACAUACUCUUAACUUCUGCAUUAGAAUUGAGAGCUGAUUCCAUUGCCAGUCUUACCACUAUCAUACCUUAUAGCCACUAGAAAAUCAUUCAAACAAUGUGGCUACGUUUCUCCAUAUUUAAAAGCAAAGUGUUUAUUCUCACCUCUCCAGCAGGCAAAGAUUUACAGGAUUAGUCAUUUAAUAUUUGUGUAAAACAAAACGUAACAACACUAAACAACUCCCACACAAAAAAGCCACCCACAACAAACAGCAAAAAACACAAACCCACAAACCCUUAACUUCCAACCAAAUGCAACUACGUUAUGGAAGUAUCUGCGCUUUAAAGAUGGUUCUAAUCAAGAGUGGUGUUUCCAAAAGCCUGGCCAGAAGACCGACUUUUCUUUGAAGAGCGUCAUAGGAAAAAAAUGUCCUUUUCUAGCACCUCAGCUCACAGUAGAAUCAGUACCAUCCAAAUGUUGAUUUUGUGCCCUGAAAAAGUGUUAUUCUAGGCCACGAGGCACCAUCUUAUAGCUAACUAUAAUAUUUAUCCUUAACGGAGUACUUAAACAAGAAACCCAAGACUCAGCAAAUGCUCAGAAAUGUUCACUGCUACCUUUCUUUACAGUGCAACACACUAGACAAAAUGCUUUCUGGAAUUGCUUAUACCCUGUUCCUUUGAAAAUCCUGUUCUAAAAAUACAUCUUUAGAAAGCACAGAGAGUGGUUUGCUUUUUCCUUAAUGCACUGGAUGCCAGGCUGAAUGAUAGUUACUAGCUUCACAUGCCAAAAAAAAAAAAGAAGUCAUGGAUAACUGGACGUUAAAUUCCAGGAAUUGUGAUGCAAUCGGCUUCUUUCCAAAGAAGCAUGUGUGUGUGUCGGGGGAUCAAUACGCGCCUUUAUUUCAAAUUUUAGGUUUGCUAAUUGUACAGUUUGGAAGAUAACCAGAUUUGGGGCCUAGGUUCAGCUUUACUGUUUAGGUUAAAUACGAGACACUGAAAUAAGUGGAGACCUCCUCUGUAGUUAGGAUAAUAUAGUAAGACUACUCAACAGCUACAGCACUGUCCAGGACAGGAACAUACAUCAUGAUGUACUACAGAAAGACACUGAAAUUUCAUUAGGCACCAAAACAAACUGAUUACAGAGAUUGCAUGUUUUAUUAUUUACUGGAAGGGCUUUAAUGAGGUAAAAUACUAAUAAGGCUUGGCUGGACCAAUCUCCUCUGAUGACGUUACCAACAUUUUACAGAUUUUUCCAGUAGUCUCGAUUCAUAAUAUCAUUAGACCAAAUUAUGUUAAUUGUGUCAUUAUGCAAAUUACAGUAGGGGAAAAAAAAUUGUACCCAAAUCCUACAGUAAGAAAACAGCGGGUUGUAACAGAUUACAUUCUAAUAGCUAGUAAUAUAGACAGGAAAGGUCAGGAUGAAAUAAAAAAAAUUUUAAUUAUUUAACUUGCAAAUUCACCAGCUAGAAAGACCCCACGGCUUCUCAAAAUCUGGCAUGAGGAGACACAGGAACAGGAGAACAAUCUGAAACCUGAUUCCUCAGGACAGUCAGCUCUCAUGCAGACACGAGUAUCUUUUUGGGAGGUAGCCUGAGACUGUGAAAUUAACUCACUUAUCACUCCCACUGCAAAACACCCUGCCUGUGAGUGAACAAACUUGAAGGUAUAGCAGCAGCAAUUUAAACAAAGCAAAACAAAAAACCAACAAAGACUGAGAAGUAGAACUGCUAAAUCACAAAACUACCUUGCACAUAAAACUCCACAGAGGACAACAAGAAAAAAGAACGUACUGCAUAUGACAAAUUUAAGCUACAGCGUAUUACUAUACUCCUAAAGAUCAGUGCUCCCAAGAUGCCAAAGAAUUGCGGAAUGGUUGAGGCGGGAUGGGACCUCUAGGUCCAUCAGGUCCAGUCCUCUUAGCUCAAGCAGGAACACCUACAACAGGCCUCCCAGGACCACGACCAGAUGGCUUUUGAACAUCUCCAAAAGAUGGAAACUCUACAACCUCUCUGGGUAACCGUUCCAGUACUCCAUGACCCACACAGUAAAGAAGCACCUUCUGAUAUUUGGAUGGAAUCUUGAGUUCCAGUUUGCAUCCACUGUCUCUCGUCCUGGCACUGGGCACCACUGAAAAGAGCCCAACUAUGCCUUCUUUGCAACGUCACAGGGUAUUUGUAUACCUCGUUUCACUCUCCCUUGUGAUUACAUCACUGUGACCAGCACCAGAGGACAGCACAGCAGAACAAAGUUGUGUGGCUCAGUACCAGUAAUAUAUCAGUGUGAUCCUUGUUUGUCUUCUUCCCCACACAUCCAAGCUUUCUUCAGCAAGAACACAGAACACAGUGAAACUUAACUCUCAAAAGUAAAGUCUGAUUUUAUUUUAUUUUUUUUAAUACUAUGACAAAUAUAACACUGAUGGCAGUUCAGUCAGGCAAAAUUUAGAAAGGCAGCAGGAAAGGAAAGGAGGUAAUACACCUGCAGAUGCCAUGAACCUCUGACUGGGACUGACAGCCAGGGAACCUUUAGGUCCAACGAAACUGAUGCAAAACCGUCUGCUGAUUUCAGCAUGUGGAUGGGAUCUUAACACAGAUCCAAAAAUGAAAAGGGAAUCUGUGGAGGGACUGCAAGAAAGUCAAAACUCUAUGUAGCAGGACUCCAUUCGCAGGUAAAAAUAUCUUAGAGGCCAGUUUAAGUUUCCUCCAUUUUGCAUGCAUUUGCUGAGCUGUAUUUUACAACAUAUAGCAUCACAAAAAUAAAAUGACAACAGUUGUAGAACACUGGCAACCUUGCUCUAGUCUAAACUGCUACCAUAGAUGAUUUGCAUCUGCUAGAAUUGUUGGUAGAAGUAAAUCUGUUUUUACACGAGCCAUCUGAUGUGUUUUGGAUUGCUACUGACUACAGUAAUUUCCAUCUUUCCUUUCCACAGCUCAAUUCACUAAACUAAAUUCUAUUUCCCGUUCUUCACAUUAUUAGGCAGUAACAGAUGCUACUGCAAUAAAUUUAAUAGCAGCAUAAACAUUACAUUCAGCUAUGUACAAACACACUCUAAUGAUAUGACCUCAGGAAGCCUCGAGAAAGAGAUCACAUGCUACUGACAGGGACGAUACUCAUUUGUUUACAGAGAACAUCGACUGUGGACAAAAUUAGGCAAGGCAACCUCCAGGGAUGGAGGCUGAGAACAACAGUAAGAGGUGAAAAUCACAAUAAUGGAAGCACAGAGUCAUGAAAUUAUAUGGAUUUUUCCAUUAUAGUAUGGGUUUCAACCACCGCAUUGUUUCAGCCCUGAAGAUGCAUGGCAGAUGUAGCAAAGGAGACCAAAUCACCGAGUCAAUGAAAGGUGAGACCAGAUGCACAGCUUGAUAAAAACAUAUUAGUGUGCACCUUGCCUUGUACAGAACCAUUAGUCUCCUGUACUAAUUUAAUGGGUCCAUAUCAACAUAGCUCAUAAUUUCAGAUAAGAUUUAGUAUUCAUAUCACAACUGACAAGUAUCUUUUUUUUUUCCCCCAAAAAAAAGUCUAGCCCACUUAAGGAAAAACAAACAAACAAACCUUUCCACUUUAACUAAGUAGAAAAUGUUAAUACACAGUCAAGAUAAUAUAAUGUUAUUAUUAGACUACUCCAAUUCUGUUCAGUGUCUUGAGGACACUGCGGCAGGAGACUGGCAACUACCUCCCCCAUCACUCAGAAACGUGCUGUUUCUCACACAAAAUAGGGUUCCUUUUUUUCUUACAUUAGAUGGAAAAAGGUAAGAUCCAAAAGAUACAUGAGAGGCUAUGAAAUCAUCCAUCUGCAAGGCUUCUUUUUAAAACAGAGUGUCACGGAGUUAUCUCUAGAUCUAUCUGUG